GGAGGGGUGCUAGAGUGGUUGAAUAGGGCGGCCUGCUAAGCCGUUGCACGGGUUUUCUCGUGCCGUGGGUUCGAAUCCCACCCCCUCCG
This 89-nucleotide transfer RNA is filed under the name Acidobacteriota bacterium. RNAcentral describes it as "Acidobacteria bacterium (sponge metagenome) tRNA-Ser". It matches the Rfam family "tRNA". From Rfam's summary of the family: Transfer RNA (tRNA) molecules are approximately 80 nucleotides in length. Their secondary structure includes four short double-helical elements and three loops (D, anti-codon, and T loops). Lineage: Bacteria; Pseudomonadati; Acidobacteriota. The record is from RNAcentral.